GUUGCUGCUGGUUCUCUAGGGAGCAUGUGCACACUUGUCAUCUUUAUAUCUCCACCUGUGAACCUUUUGUAGACCUGGAUAUCUCUCUCUGAAUUGAAUGCCUGGAAAAUUCAGGAUUGAGGAUUGAUUUUUUUUGUCUUUCCUUGUGUUUCCAGGUCUAUGUUUUUCAUAUACCCCCCAUGUAUGUUUAUAGAAUGUAAUGAACGGGCCUUUUGUGCCUAUAAACUUAUACAACUUUCAGCAACGGAUCUCUUGGCUCUCGCAUCGAUGAAGAACGCAGCGAAAUGCGAUAAGUAAUGUGAAUUGCAGAAUUCAGUGAAUCAUCGAAUCUUUGAACGCACCUUGCGCUCCUUGGUAUUCCGAGGAGCAUGCCUGUUUGAGUGUCAUUAAUAUAUCAACCCUCUUCAGGCUUUUGCAUGUUGAGUGUUGGAUGUGGGGGAUACUUUUUUUUGCUGGACUCUCUCUUGAGGUCAGCUCCCCUAAAAUACAUUAGCAAAACAAUUUGUUUACUGCUCAUUGGUGUGAUAACUAUCUACGCUGUUGACAGUAAAGCACGGUUUAGCUUCUAACAGUCCAUUGACUUGGACAACCUUUUAUCAAUGUGACCUCAAAUCAGGUAGGAUUACCCGCUGAACUUAAGCAUAU
This 645-nucleotide ribosomal RNA is filed under the name Cortinarius sp. YM472. RNAcentral describes it as "eukaryotic LSU rRNA". The stretch from base 233 to 386 matches the Rfam family "5.8S ribosomal RNA". Lineage: Eukaryota; Fungi; Basidiomycota; Agaricomycetes; Agaricales; Cortinariaceae. The record is from RNAcentral.